UGUGGAAACAGUGGGUAGUUACAACCUGGGUCUGUGGUAAGUGUGUAGUAAUGGCCUUGUGUUCCAAUCCAAAUACUGUAGGUCAAGUCUUCUGCACCCCUGACCUUUUUAGAGGACCUGACUAACUUGUUACCUGGCCUCACAGCAUUAGAAGCCGUAAUGGCACAAAGUCUGGGGGGAUUUUCCUCAAGGAACCGUUCUAGGGAUGAAUAAAUGACAGGCUUGCACAAACGCAGCUUGACGGGUUUCCAAAAAAUGUGCUUUAAUUUGAAGCGCCACAAGACCACCGCUUAAUAAGCUUUGUAAGCAAGCACUGCGAGAACACUUAGAGCAGUCUUUGUGCAUAACUAGACAAUAUUAUGCACCCGUUUUGUAUUAUUUUUUUAUUAAUAGAACUGGGUUUGCCUGGCAGGAAGGAAGCGGGAGUGAAAGUUGACAUUGUCAUGGAGGACGCCACAUAAAACAUGUGAUCUUUAAUACAAUCAAGUUAUUUUAAGUAGCUUUCAAUGGGAACAGUAAGUCUUCUAACAGCAGUGUGUUUGGCAGCAAGGUUUGUGUGUAUGUAUAUGAAAUGUAUGUUAGCCUUCAGGAAAGAGGAAGUGAAGAUCAUAAAGUGCACGUGCCAAGAGGUGGGUGCACGCUACAUCAACCAGGUUAAAGGACACCCCACCCAUAUUAGUCCCUAGAGUGCGUGUCUAGCUGUCUGUUUCGUGUUUUUUUGUUUUUUUUGUCUUCAUGAGUGUCUUGUGUGUUCAAGUGCUUGCAGAUGUUCAGAUGUUUACUUGGGGGGGGGGAAGAGACAGCACCCAGCUAGCACAUUUGGGUCCUUGGAGGUUGUGAGAAUGUGCAUUUUUGGUUUCCCAAUUUGUUUUGGGAACAAAGCCAUAAGUUUCCUAAACGGUAAGACUGAAUGUUUUAAAAAAUAUGUAUUUUUAAAUGUUCUGAGAACGGAUGUUGAUUUGAACUAUCCCCACCAGAUGCGUUCAUGAUAUGCAGGUUAAAAUUAAAAUACCAAUAUAUUUGACAGGUCAAAACACAAAUGAAACAUUCAUGGACAUUUAGAUUGCUGUUGCUAGCUCAUUUGUCAUGGGAGAUUAAUU
Oncorhynchus tshawytscha (Chinook salmon) is the source of this 1100-nucleotide long non-coding RNA. The record is from Ensembl. NCBI's taxonomy places the organism in Eukaryota, Metazoa, Chordata, Actinopteri, Salmoniformes, Salmonidae.